RNAcentral lists this long non-coding RNA (340 nucleotides) under Zonotrichia albicollis (white-throated sparrow). RNAcentral describes it as "lncRNA (ENSZALG00000011249.1)". Lineage: Eukaryota; Metazoa; Chordata; Aves; Passeriformes; Passerellidae. The record is from RNAcentral.
UUCUCUAUCUAGUCACAAGUAAAUAAUUUAUUGCCUUUUCCCUGUUGUUUUGAAAUUCACUAUUUAAUUCACUCUUUUUUUUUUAAUAGAUGAAUUAAUUAUAACAUUUCAAAACUAAGUUGCACUUCUAGGUAAUUUUUAAGAAAAGCACCAUUAUCCCCUCUCCUGGAACUCAGAACAGCUUGAAUUUGACAGAUCAGAUUUGUGUGAAGCCAUAAAAGAGAAGAAUCCUCAUCCUCUCCUGCCUUCAGCUUCACCCCGUGUGGACAUUACAUUUAUUUGUGUGCUGUGUGUCCUGGGGCACACCAAAGGCUCCAGUUCUCCAGUAUUUUAUCCCUAA